RNAcentral lists this long non-coding RNA (225 nucleotides) under Trifolium pratense (red clover). RNAcentral describes it as "long non-coding RNA (TPRA_LNC007394)". The record is from RNAcentral. Lineage: Eukaryota; Viridiplantae; Streptophyta; Magnoliopsida; Fabales; Fabaceae.
UCUAUUCGAAAGAAGGAGAAAAUUUGACUUUUAACCAGAUAUUUUUCACCUCAUUUUUUUAGAUUUAGGGACAAAAAAUAUUCUAAAAUAACAUAGUAUUAUUUCAUCCCUUUGAGCCUGAAACAAAGGAAGAGUUAGUAAACAUACCAAAAACUUGCAUAUGGAGAGAACCUGAGCUCACAGAAUAUGGCAGCUUUGUGAAUAUAUUUGCAUGAUAAACUUCAC